AACAAAACUUUGAAGAAGAAAAUGGAAGAUCCUGCUGCUCUUAUGCGACAAAGAAUAUGGGAAUUAAUACAUUGCUUCACUGAUGCUUCACCAUGGGCAUAUGCAUUAAGUUUUGCUACACUCUUUACAGUUCCCUUGAUGCACUGUGUUGAUAUACAGUGUAUGGAACGCUGUUUGCCAGUGAGUGUUUGUAACCUAUGGUAUACAAAAGUUGUGGUCAUUAUCUCAUUAAUUAUUAC
This is a long non-coding RNA of Schistocerca cancellata (South American locust), 239 nucleotides long. RefSeq lists it as uncharacterized. The record is from RefSeq and is a predicted model, not a curated record. The transcript has 3 exons. NCBI's taxonomy places the organism in Eukaryota, Metazoa, Arthropoda, Insecta, Orthoptera, Acrididae.